UCCGGGGUAGCUCAGUUGGCAGAGCAACCGGCUGUUAACCGGUUUGUCGUGGGUUCGAGCCCCACCCCCGGAG
This 73-nucleotide transfer RNA is filed under the name Acidimicrobiales bacterium. RNAcentral describes it as "tRNA-Asn". It matches the Rfam family "tRNA". From Rfam's summary of the family: Transfer RNA (tRNA) molecules are approximately 80 nucleotides in length. Their secondary structure includes four short double-helical elements and three loops (D, anti-codon, and T loops). Further hydrogen bonds mediate the characteristic L-shaped molecular structure. tRNAs have two regions of fundamental functional importance: the anti-codon, which is responsible for specific mRNA codon recognition, and the 3' end, to which the tRNAs corresponding amino acid is attached (by aminoacyl-tRNA synthetases). tRNAs cope with the degeneracy of the genetic code in two manners: having more than one tRNA (with a specific anti-codon) for a particular amino acid; and 'wobble' base-pairing, i.e. permitting non-standard base-pairing at the 3rd anti-codon position. Lineage: Bacteria; Bacillati; Actinomycetota; Acidimicrobiia; Acidimicrobiales. The record is from RNAcentral. RNAcentral also lists the same sequence under 1 other name.